GACGAACGCUGGCGGCGUGCCUAAUACAUGCAAGUAGAACGCACAGUUUAUACCGUAGCUUGCUACACCAUAAACUGUGAGUUGCGAACGGGUGAGUAACGCGUAGGUAACCUGCCUGGUAGCGGGGGAUAACUAUUGGAAACGAUAGCUAAUACCGCAUGAUCUUGAUUAUUGCAUGAUAAUUGAUUGAAAUAUGCUAUUGCAUCACUACCAGAUGGACCUGCGGUGUAUUAGCUAGUAGGUGAGGUAACGGCUCACCUAGGCGACGAUACAUCGCCGACCUGGGAGGGUGAUCGGCCACACUGGGAAUGGGACACGGCCCAGACUCCUACGGGAGGCAGCAGGAGGGAAACUUCGGCAAUGGACGGAAGGCUGACCGGGGCACGCCGGGGGAGGGAAGAAGGGUUUCGGAUCGUAAAGCUCUGUUGUAAGAGGAGAAAGGGAGUGGGAGUGGAAAGUUCACACUGUGACGGUAGCUUAUCAGAAAGGGACGGCUAACUACGUG
This 505-nucleotide ribosomal RNA is filed under the name uncultured bacterium. RNAcentral's name for it is "partial 16S ribosomal RNA". It matches the Rfam family "Bacterial small subunit ribosomal RNA", at positions 28 to 507 of the family's 1533-position model. The record is from RNAcentral.